AUGAACACUCCAGUUAUUUGUCCUGUGUGCCGUACUGAUCCAGAAGAUCUUCGGCAUAUGUUAUUCUUUUGUGACAGAGCAAAAUCAGUGCGAAAGCUGCAGCGACCCAUGAGCGUUCUGCUUCAGCCAUUUUGGAACGUCUGUUGUGUGCUGAAAUCUCUGGAGGCAAUAUCCCAAAUGCUAAUGGAAUUGAGAUGA
Molecule: ribosomal RNA, 198 nt
Filed under: Triticum aestivum (bread wheat)
Lineage: Eukaryota; Viridiplantae; Streptophyta; Magnoliopsida; Poales; Poaceae
Description: partial small subunit ribosomal RNA
Source: RNAcentral